This is a long non-coding RNA of Austrofundulus limnaeus, 600 nucleotides long. RefSeq lists it as uncharacterized. NCBI's taxonomy places the organism in Eukaryota, Metazoa, Chordata, Actinopteri, Cyprinodontiformes, Rivulidae. The transcript has 2 exons. The record is from RefSeq and is a predicted model, not a curated record.
AAAAAGCACUGCUGUGACCGCCUGAAGCAAGAAGAGAGAGCGAGAGAAAAGAGGGGGCUURGAAUGACAGGCUGAUCCUUCAUUUACAGGAAGCUCGAGCACGAGGGAGUCGCUCCGCUUUUGAUGUUGAAAAUGUGUGUGUCGAAACAUCCUUUGUGCUCGCGACAGAACGACGUGAGCGAAGCUACAAGUUGGUUUCCGAGCUGCACGAGGAGUAAAACCAACGCGGCGGGUUGCUGGAUCGCAGGCUCCCAGCGUGCGUGUGUACGUGCGCACGCAUCGGCUCGGAUGCGUGUGUGACGGCGCGCGCUGAAGUAGCCGUUAAAAAUGCUAAUUUGCCGCGGCGUUCAUAUUCCCAUACGGAGCCUCAUGCUGUUUGCAUGGUAAAUAAGCACGCUGAUUAUUCCACGUACAAUAUGUUUUCAUGAGAAAUGCAUGCGUGCGUGCAGGCAGGGAGGCUGCUUGUUGGCAGAUGAACUGUAAAAGCUCUGAGGUCUUUGUAUCGGCCCACAUCUGACGUUAACCGCAGCUUGAAAUGUUAAUCUGGGAUUUUGGAUACAAACACAUGAACAAUAAACUAGAGUAUUUGUUUUUAAAAUA